RNAcentral lists this ribosomal RNA (253 nucleotides) under uncultured bacterium. RNAcentral describes it as "partial 16S ribosomal RNA". It matches the Rfam family "Bacterial small subunit ribosomal RNA", at positions 524 to 776 of the family's 1533-position model. The record is from RNAcentral.
UACGUAGGUGGCGAGCGUUGUCCGGAUUUACUGGACGUAAAGAGCGCGCAGGCGGUCGUUCAAGUCGCGUGUGAAAGCCCCCGGCUCAACUGGGGAGGGUCACGCGAUACUGAUCGACUCGAAGGCAGGAGAGGGAAGUGGAAUUCCCGGUGUAGUGGUGAAAUUCGUAGAUAUUCGCAAGAACACCAGUGGCGAAGGCGGCUCACUGGCCCGAUACUGACGCUGAGGCACGAAAGCGUGGGGAGCAAACAGG